RNAcentral lists this ribosomal RNA (207 nucleotides) under uncultured bacterium. RNAcentral's name for it is "partial 16S ribosomal RNA". It matches the Rfam family "Bacterial small subunit ribosomal RNA", at positions 568 to 774 of the family's 1533-position model. The record is from RNAcentral.
CGCGUAGGCGGUUUGGUAAGUCAGAUGUGAAAGCCCUGGGCUCAACCUGGGAAUUGCAUUUGAUACUGCUAGGCUAGAGUAUGGUAGAGGGAAGUGGAAUUCCAGGUGUAGCGGUGAAAUGCGUAGAUAUCUGGAGGAACAUCAGUGGCGAAGGCGACUUCCUGGACCAAUACUGACGCUGAGGUGCGAAAGCGUGGGUAGCAAACA